GGUGUGUAUAUAUGAAGAUUUGCAGCCUAAAUUCCAUCCAAAGAUCUUCAGUAUUUAAAUGUCAACAUCGAUUUAUUUAUUUAUUGCUGAGCUGACCGUAACUGACUUAAUAACAAAUCUAAUCAUGUUUGCUCCGGGAAAGAAAUAUUCUCAUUAUGUAUUUUCACCAAAUGAUGGCUCACCAUUCCAUUUGAAUACCGGCCAUAAAUAUCAAUAAUACGCAGUAAUUACU
Molecule: non-coding RNA, 232 nt
Organism: Monodelphis domestica (gray short-tailed opossum)
Lineage: Eukaryota; Metazoa; Chordata; Mammalia; Didelphimorphia; Didelphidae
Source: Rfam